UACGGGGGGGGCAAGCGUUGUUCGGAAUUACUGGGCGUAAAGCGUGCGCAGGCGGUUUUGUAAGACAGGUGUGAAAUCCCCGGGCUUAACCUGGGAACUGCGCUUGUGACUGCAAGACUCGAGUGUGGCAGAGGGGGGUGGAAUUCCACGUGUAGCAGUGAAAUGCGUAGAGAUGUGGAGGAACACCGAUGGCGAAGGCAGCCCCCUGGGUCAACACUGACGCUCAUGCACGAAAGCGUGGGGAGCAAACAGG
This 253-nucleotide ribosomal RNA is filed under the name uncultured bacterium. RNAcentral's name for it is "partial 16S ribosomal RNA". It matches the Rfam family "Bacterial small subunit ribosomal RNA", at positions 524 to 776 of the family's 1533-position model. The record is from RNAcentral.